AAUGCAGGUAUCAGCACAAUAAUGAAGCCGCAGGUGUUGCUUGCAGUUGUCCUCCUCUGCCCGCUGGGAAUGGCCCAUGAAAUUUGGAUUAGACCGAAACCCUACCCCGACAGACCCCCACCAUAUUAAAUGGAUCAGUUCAUCCACUCUUGUUCCUGCCACGGUGAGAAAUGGGCACCUUGGCUGGAACAAAAGGGGUUAAAAUGAUGUACAACUUACAGAUACAUCACUAUUAAGAAAUAAAUGACCUAAACAAUA
Long non-coding RNA from Drosophila biarmipes, 258 nucleotides. RefSeq lists it as uncharacterized. NCBI's taxonomy places the organism in Eukaryota, Metazoa, Arthropoda, Insecta, Diptera, Drosophilidae. The record is from RefSeq and is a predicted model, not a curated record. The transcript has 2 exons.